GGACGAACGCUGGCGGCGUGCUUAACACAUGCAAGUCGAACGGAAAGGCCCUGCUUUUGUGGGGUGCUCGAGUGGCGAACGGGUGAGUAACACGUGAGUAACCUGCCCUUGACUUUGGGAUAACUUCAGGAAACUGGGGCUGAUACCGGAUAGGAGCUCCUGCUGCAUGGUGGGGGUUGGAAAGUUUCGGCGGUUGGGGAUGGACUCGCGGCUUAUCAGCUUGUUGGUGGGGUAGUGGCUUACCAAGGCUUUGACGGGUAGCCGGCCUGAGAGGGUGACCGGCCACAUUGGGACUGAGAUACGGCCCAGACUCCUACGGGAGGCAGCAGUGGGGAAUAUUGCACAAUGGGCGGAAGCCUGAUGCAGCAACGCCGCGUGCGGGAUGACGGCCUUCGGGUUGUAAACCGCUUUCGCCUGUGACGAAGCGUGAGUGACGGUAAUGGGUAAAGAAGCACCGGCUAACUACGUG
Molecule: ribosomal RNA, 469 nt
Filed under: uncultured bacterium
Lineage: Bacteria
Description: partial 16S ribosomal RNA
Rfam family: Bacterial small subunit ribosomal RNA
Source: RNAcentral